Molecule: ribosomal RNA, 784 nt
Filed under: Bacteroidetes bacterium SCGC AAA041-C10
Lineage: Bacteria; Pseudomonadati; Bacteroidota
Description: bacterial SSU rRNA
Rfam family: Bacterial small subunit ribosomal RNA
Source: RNAcentral
GGUAACAGGGGUAGCUUUGCUCGCUGACGACCGGCAAACGGGUGCGUAACACUUACGCAAUCUUCCCCUAACUGGAGGAUAGCCUCUCGAAAGAGAGAUUAAUACUCCGUAACAUUAUGUAAUGGCAUCAUUAUAUAAUUAUAGCUCCGGCGGUUAGGGAUGAGCGUGAGGCUGAUUAGAUAGUUGGUGAGGUAACCGGCUCACCAAGUCAACGAUCAGUAGCUGAUGUGAGAGCAUGAUCAGCCACACGGGCACUGAGACACGGGCCCGACUCCUACGGGAGGCAGCAGUGAGGAAUAUUGGUCAAUGGACGCAAGUCUGAACCAGCCAUGCCGCGUGAAGGAUGAAGGUCCUCUGGAUUGUAAACUUUNUUUUAUAUGGGAAGAAAUGUGGAUUUUCUAAUCUACUUUGACGGUACCAUGUGAAUAAGCACCGGCUAACUCCGUGCCAGCAGCCGCGGUAAUACGGAGGGUGCAAGCGUUAUCCGGAUUCACUGGGUUUAAAGGGUGCGUAGGUGGACUUAUAAGUCAGUGGUGAAAUCCCGAAGCUCAACUUCGGAACUGCCAUUGAUACUGUUAGUCUUGAAUAUCCUGGAGGUGGGCGGAAUAUGUCAUGUAGCGGUGAAAUGCUUAGAUAUUGACAUAGAACACCAAUUGCGAAGGCAGCUCACUACGGGAUGAUUGACACUGAGGCACGAAAGCGUGGGGAUCAAACAGGAUUAGAUACCCUGGUAGUCCACGCCCUAAACGAUGGAUACUCGUCAUUUGUGAUAUACAUAAGUGAC